Molecule: long non-coding RNA, 2852 nt
Organism: Felis catus (domestic cat)
Lineage: Eukaryota; Metazoa; Chordata; Mammalia; Carnivora; Felidae
Exons: 3
Source: RefSeq, a predicted model, not a curated record
CCGGGGCGGGCCUCAGGUGGGAGCGCUCUCGCGGCGCCUAGAGGAGGGAGACUGGUGGUGAAUGCGCGCUGUUCCAGUUAGCGUAGGGGCCCUCAAUCAGGAGGAGGAAAAUACUGUCAGCAAAACAGUGAAGGCAGUCAGCUGAUUGAUGUUCUGCAGGCCAGUGAGACCUCCUAAAAGGAACGAGGGCGUCAGGAAGAAAGGUUGGACAAAGAUAACGGGGGAUAACAAAGUGGAAAGGAAAGGGAAGUAUUUGAAAACUCUAGAAGAAGAAAGGGAACAGGAGGUACUUGGUGUCCAGAAAGCUUUUGCUUAAACUGUAGAGAAAGCAUCGGAAUCCGUUUUCCUUUCUACUACAGUACAAGGGUGCAUAUGAAUCGUCACCACUGAUGCUGGAAAUUCCCCGACACGAGUUCCUCUGUGACCUAGCAGCAGCAGCAGCAAAGACAUGCACGCGUCCCCCAUUUGCUCCCCUGUAGCUGUCGGUGUUCCACGACCAGAUGCUCCAGUGCAGCCAAGGGCGCGGUGGGCGCAAAAAAUCAGUGCCCUGAAAGCCACCACUGAAAUUAAGUGUUGCUUGUGGGCACCAGUCAAGUGACUUUCUAAGGGGCGGGGUAACAGGAACUACCAAGCGAAUGAGGUGGAGCGUUUGACGGGAAGUGACACAGUGGCCACACGGUGGCGCAGGAUGAUGAGCGACUGACUCCGUUCUGCACGAGGGCCCAUCAUUGAUGCCCUUGAAAGCUCUCUUUGCAAACACUCGUGUCUUCUUCCGCAUUCCACAAUCUGCGGCCUUUUCCCCCCCGCAGUCCCUCUUUCCUUUCGUAAUGUCCCAGUUCCCAUGGUUACGAUGGUGGAUUCCUUUUCUCCGGGUUGACCCUGAGUGCUGGCCUGUACUCGGCAACCCCCUGCUUCUGGAAAGCGGUUCCUCCAGUGAAAUCUGCAAGACCAGUGGAAGCUGAGCAAGGCAGGGGGCAGCCCGACCCCCUCCUCCCCCUCCCCCCUCAUUUCCCCCAUCAGGUUAGGGUCUGGGAGUGCGGCUUAAAGCUGCUGGCAUGCUUUAUGUCACCUUCACAAAUUUCCUGAGUGGCGUCACCCUGAGUUUUUCAUAUAUGAUCUUUUACAGAGGACAGAGAUGUGGGCAUUGAAAUUGGGAGAGAACCACCAAACCACCAGGGGCCUUCUCUGCAAAGCCCUGGGUACUGUCCCACUCUGGAAGGAGGCAACCCUACAUGGCACCCCGAACUCUGCCUUGAUUGUCCCCACAUCUGGGUGGAUGAGGAGCCCCCCGGGAGGCUCAGACAUCUCGAAUGGAGAGUUAUCUUCUUCCCCGUCUUCCUCAAAAUGAAGCCUGUUGUAGAAAGUCCCCGCUGGCUCCAGGAACACGUCAGCCACCACACCUUUGCCGUCUACCCUCUUCAAAACUCAGUUUGCGUCAGGGCUUAUCCCAAACGUAGAUUCAUUUAGAAAAUACAGCUCACUGAUGUGUAACUAAAAAUACAUAAAUACGCCCCCAAAGCAAAGUCUAAACAGAUGUCCCACUCUGUCCCCCUUCAGAUAAAAAGUGACCCAUCUCUUUCAAAGAGGGGGGAGAAGCUGGGCUAAGUAAGAAUAAAACAUUGGGAAGUGGGGAGAGGAAGGGCGUGUUUUGUUUCUCCUUGAGGGACAGGAGCAAACCCUAGGAGUGGAAUGCAGCCGCCUCCAAGGCCCCGGGGGAGUGUCCCUGAGACCCUACACGUUGCUCCCAGCCACUCCCCAGAAGACAGAACAGUGAGCCUGUGCCCUCUACACCAUCUGAGAACCCCCUCUCUCCAGGCAGGUGCUGCUUGCAUGCACACCCACCCCCGAGGAAAGGGGCAGGGGGCCCCCCUCUGUGCAGAGAUUCGGGGACUGAAUAGGAGCUCAGACGUGGAAACAGGACAGGAAAAGAGAUUUUCUUCAAGAAAACCAGACAAGCAGAGACAUGGAAAUAUGAAAGCAGAUUUUACGUCCAGAGAAAUAAAUACGCUAAAUUGAUUUCAUCGUAACCUCGUGUUAUUCCUGUGAUGGAACGUGACCCCGGAAUGAGAGAAUAGAAGUCAAAAGUGCUUUGUGCGGAUCAAGCGGCAGAGACGCAGAGAGCCUCAAUCCCACUCGGGUAUCAGGGCUCAGCGAGAUACCGUGUCUGUGGUUGUUCAGCAGACACCGAGAGCCUUGGUCAAAUACUUGGCGGUAACUGUAAUAAAAUGUCUCCUGGUUCAGGGGCCCUCACCUAUAUAAUAUAAAGUUUCCGUAGAGUAGAAUUGGGAAGAAGUUUUGUCUCAUUUCCUGUGUCACCCAAUUCCAGGCCAACCAUCUCCAUUCCUUCAUGGGCUGUCUCAGCCUUGCCACCGGCCACUUUCUAUGGUUCCAAACCAUUUCCCUGAAUCCCAGGACACGGCCAACAUACUGGCCUCAGGGAGGCAGGAAUGUCUCUUUCUAUUGUGUCAGUAGCAUGAAUAAAGACCCCUCCCUUAAUCCCAUACAGCAUCUUUGAGACCAGGCUGAAAUAUUUGAUAGAACUUUACUGACAGCGAGACUGUUGUGUAUGAAGCAUAUGAAAGACAAAUGAGGGAUUACGUCACAUGAUCCUAUUAUCCCCCACCCCCACCCCCAUUCUUGAGAACCGAGGUUCUUGGUCACAAAGAAAGGUGACACAAAUAUAAAAGACAAAGUUAAAACGCUGUGAUGCUGAGUUUGAAAUAGAGAAGUAUCAGGGCACCUGAGUGGUUCAGUCGGUUAAGCUUCUGACUGGAUUUCAGCUCAGGUCAUGAUCUCGCAGUUCGGUUUGUAAGUUCGAGCCCUGCGUCGGGCUCUGCGGUGAUAGUGCAGAG